AUCAUUCCCUAAAUUAGUCGAUGUGGGACUUUCAUCAUUUAACACAAUCGUCUAGGUUUGGAAGAAAAUGAUGAGAGGAUAAAAGAAUAAACCCAGGUGGUGUUCAAUAUAUCGAUUCAGAGCUACCAGAAACAAGAAACAAGCAAUAACCUCCACCAACAUGAGAGGUUCUCUUUCCUCCAAAUGCUAAAUCCUUGAAAUUAGGAAGAAAAACAUAUAUCUAAUUGGGGGCAGACAAAAUCACAAGAAUGGCUUCAAGCAGUUCAAAUUUGGUUCUUAUAUGGUGAUAUAGUAUUAGUUCAAACCAGACUGGCUUAGCAAUAAGUAACCAUUAACUGGCUGUUUGUUGUAAUGCAGAUCACAGAUUUUAAAUUUGUUGAUAGAAUAUCAGACUUUAUGUGACUAUAGAUGUGGAAAUUUUGCAUAUGCCGGAUGGUGAAACUUAUAUAUUGAAUCAUCGAAUUUCGAAGUUCCUCACUGAUGUGAAGCCUAUCAAUCGAACAUGGUCGUAUAUUUGGAUAAAUAGUUUUCACUGCUGCUAGACUGAAUCUUUAUAUUAAUGACAUUUCAGGCCAGAUGAACAUGUUUGCAUGGAGUUGUCUUUUAGAUGUAUAUGAGGCUGGAGUUAGGGGAGAUAGGUAGAUGUCUACAUCUACAAUAUCAUUUUUCUUGGUUUGAUUACAGCAGGCUUGAACAAGUCAUCAGUUCCUUCUUCAGAUCUUCGAUCUUGCAAUUAAAAUUCUCAGCAUCAUUUUUAUUUCCCUCCGAUGGAUCUCUAAGACAUGACAAGGAGAAGUGCAAGGAUUUAAAGAAGAUGGUGUCCUUGCAUGUGAAAGGAAGGAAGAACAGUAGCUAGGCAGAAUAGAGACUGUUGUUGAAGUAAUCAGAACUGAAACAAUUUGAUUUUCCAGUGCAGUUUACUUGAGAACAUAGUGAGGAAAAACAUCAACGAAACAUAUAUUGUUAGGAACCACGAACCUCCACAAUUCUAUGAUAUUAUCCACUUUGAGCAUA
Molecule: long non-coding RNA, 1014 nt
Organism: Cucurbita moschata (crookneck pumpkin)
Lineage: Eukaryota; Viridiplantae; Streptophyta; Magnoliopsida; Cucurbitales; Cucurbitaceae
Exons: 3
Source: RefSeq, a predicted model, not a curated record